UACGGAGGAUCCAAGCGUUAUCCGGAUUCAUUGGGUUUAAAGGGUGCGUAGGCGGAAUAAUAAGUCAGUGGUGAAAGCCCUCAGCUUAACUGAGGAACUGCCAUUGAUACUGUUAAUCUUGAGUACAUUUGAUGUGGGCGGAAUGUGUCAUGUAGCGGUGAAAUGCUUAGAUAUGACACAGAACACCGAUUGCGAAGGCAGCUCACAAAACUGUAACUGACGCUGAGGCACGAAAGCGUGGGUAUCAAACAGG
Molecule: ribosomal RNA, 253 nt
Filed under: uncultured bacterium
Lineage: Bacteria
Description: partial 16S ribosomal RNA
Rfam family: Bacterial small subunit ribosomal RNA
Source: RNAcentral